Molecule: ribosomal RNA, 781 nt
Filed under: uncultured crenarchaeote
Lineage: Archaea; Thermoproteati; Thermoproteota
Description: bacterial SSU rRNA
Rfam family: Archaeal small subunit ribosomal RNA
Source: RNAcentral
CCGGCUUGACAAGUCCUUCUGUUAAAUCCAGCAACCCCAAUUGUUGGACUUGCGGGAGAUACUGUCAAGCUAGAGAACGGGAGAAGUCGACGGUACUCUCAGGGUAGGAGUGAAAUCCUAUAAUCCUGGGAGGACCACCAGUGGCGUAGGCCUUUCGACUAGAACGUUGUCUGACGGUGAGGGACGAAAGCUUGGGGAGCGAACCGGAUUAGAUACCCGGGUAGUCCAAGCUGUAAACGAUGCGGGCUAGGUGUUGGUGUGGUACGUGCCACUUCAGUGCCGCAGGGAAGCCGUUAAGCCCGCCGCCUGGGGAGUACGGUCGCAAGGCUGAAACUUAAAGGAAUUGGCGGGGGAGCACCACAAGGGGUGAAGCUUGCGGUUUAAUUGGAGUCAACGCCGGGAACCUUACCGGGGACGACAGCAGAAUGAAGGCCAGAUUUAAGGUCUUGCUAGACGAGCUGAGAGGAGGUGCAUGGCCGUCGCCAGUUCGUGCCGUGAGGUGUCCUGUCAAGUCAGGCAACGAUCGAGACCCACAUCCAUUGUUGCGGCCGAGGAGAUUCUCCGAGGAGCAAGACUGUGGAGACUGCCGCCGAUAAGGCGGAGGAAGGAGUGGGCCACGGCAGGUCAGUAUGCCCCGAAUUCCUCGGGCCACACGCGAGCUGCAAUGGCAGGGACAAUGAGCUUCCGACCUCGAGAGGGGGAGGCAAUCUUAAACCCUGUCUCAGUUGGGAUUGAGGGCUGCAACCCGCCCUCAUGAAUCAUGGAAUCCUAGUAAUCGCGC